This 468-nucleotide ribosomal RNA is filed under the name uncultured bacterium. Its description in RNAcentral is "partial 16S ribosomal RNA". It matches the Rfam family "Bacterial small subunit ribosomal RNA", at positions 28 to 507 of the family's 1533-position model. The record is from RNAcentral.
GACGAACGCUGGCGGCGUGCUUAACACAUGCAAGUCAAACGGAAAGGCCCUGCUUUUGUGGGGUGCUCGAGUGGCGAACGGGUGAGUAACACGUGAGUAACCUGCCCAUGACUUUGGGAUAACUUCAGGAAACUGGGGCUAAUACCGGAUAGGAGCUCCUGCUGCAUGGUGGGGGUUGGAAAGUUUCGGCGGUUGGGGAUGGACUCGCGGCUUAUCAGCUUGUUGGUGGGGUAGUGGCUUACCAAGGCUUUGACGGGUAGCCGGCCUGAGAGGGUGACCGGCCACAUUGGGACUGAGAUACGGCCCAGACUCCUACGGGAGGCAGCAGUGGGGAAUAUUGCACAAUGGGCGGAAGCCUGAUGCAGCAACGCCGCGUGCGGGAUGACGGCCUUCGGGUUGUAAACCGCUUUCGCCUGUGACGAAGCGUGAGUGACGGUAAUGGGUAAAGAAGCACCGGCUAACUACGUG